GGGUAUUAGACUAAUAUUCAAAGGGAGAAAAGAGACAUGAAAGAACUUACGGGAUUUGAACUACAUUCAUCCACUUUCAAACAAUAACUUUUCCUCUAUUUUUCUUUUCUUUUAUCUUUUUAUUCUCUCUUUUUUUUUUCAGAAGGAAAAUAUAAUGACAUCUUUUGAUUUUUCCACUUUUUUUUUUCAUUUUCUACAUAUAUAUUUUUUUCUUUUUUCUAUCAACUUUUAAAUAAAAUAUCCCAACUAUAGUUAUUCAACCCCACACAACUCCAAACAAGACACUUUCAACCCUAUGAAUGGAUGAUAACAUUGUUUUUUAUUUUAAGGCUUGUAAUGAGUUUAAACAAAGAAUGGGAUAAUAGGUUCAAGGAGUUUUCAAACAAG
RNAcentral lists this long non-coding RNA (387 nucleotides) under Lathyrus oleraceus (garden pea). RNAcentral's name for it is "Pisum sativum (pea) long non-coding RNA (PSAT_LNC013836)". The record is from RNAcentral. Lineage: Eukaryota; Viridiplantae; Streptophyta; Magnoliopsida; Fabales; Fabaceae.